This 69-nucleotide transfer RNA is filed under the name Apogon semilineatus (half-lined cardinal). RNAcentral's name for it is "tRNA-Ala". It matches the Rfam family "tRNA". From Rfam's summary of the family: Transfer RNA (tRNA) molecules are approximately 80 nucleotides in length. Their secondary structure includes four short double-helical elements and three loops (D, anti-codon, and T loops). Further hydrogen bonds mediate the characteristic L-shaped molecular structure. tRNAs have two regions of fundamental functional importance: the anti-codon, which is responsible for specific mRNA codon recognition, and the 3' end, to which the tRNAs corresponding amino acid is attached (by aminoacyl-tRNA synthetases). tRNAs cope with the degeneracy of the genetic code in two manners: having more than one tRNA (with a specific anti-codon) for a particular amino acid; and 'wobble' base-pairing, i.e. permitting non-standard base-pairing at the 3rd anti-codon position. Lineage: Eukaryota; Metazoa; Chordata; Actinopteri; Kurtiformes; Apogonidae. The record is from RNAcentral.
AAGGUCUUAGCUUAAUUAAAGUGUCUGUUUUGCAUGCAGGAGAUGUGGGUUAGAGGCCCGCAGACCUUA